RNAcentral lists this ribosomal RNA (486 nucleotides) under uncultured bacterium. Its description in RNAcentral is "partial 16S ribosomal RNA". It matches the Rfam family "Bacterial small subunit ribosomal RNA", at positions 30 to 507 of the family's 1533-position model. The record is from RNAcentral.
AUUGAACGCUGGCGGCAUGCCUUACACAUGCAAAUCGAACGGCAGCACGGGUGCUUGCACCUGGUGGCGAGUGGCGAACGGGUGAGUAAUACAUCGGAACAUGUCCUGUAGUGGGGGAUAGCCCGGCGAAAGCCGGAUUAAUACCGCAUACGAUCUACGGAUGAAAGCGGGGGACCUUCGGGCCUCGCGCUAUAGGGUUGGCCGAUGGCUGAUUAGCUAGUUGGUGGGGUAAAGGCCUACCAAGGCGACGAUCAGUAGCUGGUCUGAGAGGACGACCAGCCACACUGGGACUGAGACACGGCCCAGACUCCUACGGGAGGCAGCAGUGGGGAAUUUUGGACAAUGGGCGAAAGCCUGAUCCAGCAAUGCCGCGUGUGUGAAGAAGGCCUUCGGGUUGUAAAGCACUUUUGUCCGGAAAGAAAUCCUUGGCCCUAAUACGGUCGGGGGAUGACGGUACCGGAAGAAUAAGCACCGGCUAACUACGUG